GUGGGUGAUCUGCCUGCACUUCGGGAUAAGCCUGGGAAACUGGGUCUAAUACCGGAUAGGAGCCAUUUUUAGUGUGAUGGUUGGAAAGUUUUUUCGGUGCAGGAUGAGCUCGCGGCCUAUCAGCUUGUUGGUGGGGUAAUGGCCUACCAAGGCGGCGACGGGUAGCCGGCCUGAGAGGGUGGACGGCCACAUUGGGACUGAGAUACGGCCCAG
This 213-nucleotide ribosomal RNA is filed under the name uncultured Actinomycetales bacterium. RNAcentral describes it as "partial 16S ribosomal RNA". It matches the Rfam family "Bacterial small subunit ribosomal RNA", at positions 117 to 334 of the family's 1533-position model. Lineage: Bacteria; Bacillati; Actinomycetota; Actinomycetes; Actinomycetales. The record is from RNAcentral.